Molecule: long non-coding RNA, 691 nt
Organism: Homo sapiens (human)
Lineage: Eukaryota; Metazoa; Chordata; Mammalia; Primates; Hominidae
Gene: SV2C-AS1
Product: SV2C antisense RNA 1
Source: Ensembl
AGGAAGUGCAGGCGCUGACAAAGAGCCUCAGCCCCGCGGGCUCCCCUGCUCUCCAGCCCUCUCUUGCUCUCUCUUAGACGCCAGACAGGCGCUUCGGGAAUGUAUGUGGGAGAGUUUGAAAAUUCAUGGUGUUUCUUUCAGGCUCUCUCAGCACUUACUGCGGCUACCUCUGCUCUCCCGCCACCUGCACGUCUGCAGAGGGAUCCCCGCCGAAAAGUUGAGCCUAAGGCAGCUAUGAAGGAGACCCCAACUCGAGCUUCACUGUUCCAAAGCGGUGGGCCAGGCGGCUGGAGAGAAACUCGCUCCCGUGAGGCCACACCCAGGCCUGGCGCACCCACCCCGCGGCAGCAGUGGAGGGCGUCGCCCUCCCGGGCCUUCCGACGCAGACCCUGCCAUCCGGAUGCUGCGGGAAGUAGGGCAUCCUCACGUCCCUGACUCCUCCGGCUCCGCGCGCUCACGGAACCCAAGUGGAGUGGGAAGCGGUCACACAGGCGUGUGCCGUCCCCGAAAUCGUUGCUCCUGUGGUGGUGACCCAAAGCGAGACAAAGCGCCGCGCCAAUACGGGCUGCAGUGAUUGGAACUCAAACACACACAUCUCUCCGCGAAUGUGUUCCAUCCGUGUAAAUAUGCCUGGGUGAUUGAAUGGAUGGCUGAAUGAACGCUGUGUGGAUAGAAAUAUAAAUGUUACAUG